RNAcentral lists this transfer RNA (66 nucleotides) under Lucaina discoidalis. Its description in RNAcentral is "tRNA-Glu". RNAcentral also lists the same sequence under 1 other name. The record is from RNAcentral. Lineage: Eukaryota; Metazoa; Arthropoda; Insecta; Coleoptera; Lycidae.
AUUUCUAUUUAUAUAGUUUAGCUAAAACAUUACAUUUUCAUUGUAAAGUCAAAUUACCUUUUAUAA